UAAAAGAUAAGCUAAUAAAGCUAAUGGGUUCAUACCCCGUUUAUAAAAAUAAUAAUUUUUUUCUUUUAA
RNAcentral lists this transfer RNA (69 nucleotides) under Cladiucha magnoliae. RNAcentral's name for it is "tRNA-Met". The record is from RNAcentral. Lineage: Eukaryota; Metazoa; Arthropoda; Insecta; Hymenoptera; Tenthredinidae.